GGAGGCGUCGCAUAGCGGCCUAGUGCGUGCGCUUGGAAAGCGCAUAUACCGAAAGGUAUCGAAGGUUCGAAUCCUUCCGCCUCCGCCA
This 88-nucleotide transfer RNA is filed under the name bacterium. RNAcentral describes it as "tRNA-Ser". It matches the Rfam family "tRNA". From Rfam's summary of the family: Transfer RNA (tRNA) molecules are approximately 80 nucleotides in length. Their secondary structure includes four short double-helical elements and three loops (D, anti-codon, and T loops). Further hydrogen bonds mediate the characteristic L-shaped molecular structure. tRNAs have two regions of fundamental functional importance: the anti-codon, which is responsible for specific mRNA codon recognition, and the 3' end, to which the tRNAs corresponding amino acid is attached (by aminoacyl-tRNA synthetases). tRNAs cope with the degeneracy of the genetic code in two manners: having more than one tRNA (with a specific anti-codon) for a particular amino acid; and 'wobble' base-pairing, i.e. permitting non-standard base-pairing at the 3rd anti-codon position. The record is from RNAcentral.